GGUUAAGCGACUAAGCGUACACGGUGGAUGCCCUGGCAGUCAGAGGCGAUGAAGGACGUGCUAAUCUGCGAUAAGCGUCGGUAAGGUGAUAUGAACCGUUAUAACCGGCGAUUUCCGAAUGGGGAAACCCAGUGUGAUUCGUCACACUAUCAUUAACUGAAUCCAUAGGUUAAUGAGGCGAACCGGGGGAACUGAAACAUCUAAGUACCCCGAGGAAAAGAAAUCAACCGAGAUUCCCCCAGUAGCGGCGAGCGAACGGGGAGGAGCCCAGAGCCUGAAUCAGUGUGUGUGUUAGUGGAAGCGUCUGGAAAGGCGCGCGAUACAGGGUGACAGCCCCGUACACAAAAAUGCACAUACUGUGAGCUCGAUGAGUAGGGCGGGACACGUGGUAUCCUGUCUGAAUAUGGGGGGACCAUCCUCCAAGGCUAAAUACUCCUGACUGACCGAUAGUGAACCAGUACCGUGAGGGAAAGGCGAAAAGAACCCCGGCGAGGGGAGUGAAAAAGAACCUGAAACCGUGUACGUACAAGCAGUGGGAGCACGCUUCGGCGUGUGACUGCGUACCUUUUGUAUAAUGGGUCAGCGACUUAUAUUCUGUAGCAAGGUUAACCGAAUAGGGGAGCCGAAGGGAAACCGAGUCUUAACUGGGCGUUAAGUUGCAGGGUAUAGACCCGAAACCCGGUGAUCUAGCCAUGGGCAGGUUGAAGGUUGGGUAACACUAACUGGAGGACCGAACCGACUAAUGUUGAAAAAUUAGCGGAUGACUUGUGGCUGGGGGUGAAAGGCCAAUCAAACCGGGAGAUAGCUGGUUCUCCCCGAAAGCUAUUUAGGUAGCGCCUCGUGAAUUCAUCUCCGGGGGUAGAGCACUGUUUCGGCAAGGGGGUCAUCCCGACUUACCAACCCGAUGCAAACUGCGAAUACCGGAGAAUGUUAUCACGGGAGACACACGGCGGGUGCUAACGUCCGUCGUGAAGAGGGAAACAACCCAGACCGCCAGCUAAGGUCCCAAAGUCAUGGUUAAGUGGGAAACGAUGUGGGAAGGCCCAGACAGCCAGGAUGUUGGCUUAGAAGCAGCCAUCAUUUAAAGAAAGCGUAAUAGCUCACUGGUCGAGUCGGCCUGCGCGGAAGAUGUAACGGGGCUAAACCAUGCACCGAAGCUGCGGCAGCGACACUAUGUGUUGUUGGGUAGGGGAGCG
RNAcentral lists this ribosomal RNA (1196 nucleotides) under Escherichia coli. RNAcentral describes it as "partial 23S ribosomal RNA". It matches the Rfam family "Bacterial large subunit ribosomal RNA", at positions 1 to 1238 of the family's 2925-position model. Lineage: Bacteria; Pseudomonadati; Pseudomonadota; Gammaproteobacteria; Enterobacterales; Enterobacteriaceae. The record is from RNAcentral.